GAACAUGUUUCUGUUGCUUUAAACCGCUCGGUUGUGGGAGCCAUUUGUUGUAACAGCUGCAGGUCGCACGCACUCCCCACACACUGCACUCCCCACACACUGCACUCCCCACACACUGCACUCCUCACACACUGCACUCCUCACACACGCACUCCCCACACACUGCACUCCCCACACACUGCACUCCUCACACACUGCACUCCCCACACACUGCACUCCCCACACACUGCACUCCUCACACACUGCACUCCUCACACACGCACUCCCCACACACUACACUCCUCACACACUGCACUCCGCACACACUGCACUCCCCACACACUGCACUCCCCACACACUGCACUCCUCACACACGCACUCCCCACACACUGCACUCCCCACACACUGCACUCCUCACACACUGCACUCCCCACACACUGCACUCCCCACACACUGCACUCCCCACACACUGCACUCCUCACACACGCACUCCUCACACACUGCACUCCUCACACACUGCACUCCUCACACACUGCACUCCUCACACACGCACUCCUCACACACUGCACUCCUCACACACUGCACUCCUCACACACGCACUCCUCACACACUGCACUCCCCACACACUGCACUCCCCACACACUGCACUCCCCACACACUGCACUCCUCACACACGCACUCCCCACACACUGCACUCCCCACACACUGCACUCCCCACACACUGCACUCCCCACACACUGCACUCCUCACACACGCACUCCUCACACACUGCACUCCUCACACACUGCACUCCCCACACACUGCACUCCCCACACACUGCACUCCCCACACACUGCACUCCUCACACACGCACUCCUCACACACUGCACUCCCCACACACUGCACUCCCCACACACUGCACUCCUCACACACUGCACUCCCAGCUACACCCGCCCUAAUGCCCUUCUUGUUCUUCCCACACUCACCCUGAUUCAGGUGUCCUAUUCAGCUCCUCUCUCUGACUUAUCAACUGUGGCAGAAGAAAAGAAAGAUUUCUUUUUAAAGAAAGUACAGGGACUUCCCUGGUGGUCUCGUGGUUGA
This 1059-nucleotide long non-coding RNA is filed under the name Bos indicus x Bos taurus (hybrid cattle). RNAcentral's name for it is "lncRNA (ENSBIXG00005022993.1)". Lineage: Eukaryota; Metazoa; Chordata; Mammalia; Artiodactyla; Bovidae. The record is from RNAcentral.